AAUAUAAUGAAGGCGCCAGAACCCGGCAUUCCAGCCAUGGGAUGUGGAAGAGUGAUUUAUAUCUACCGGGUUGACGAGGGGGGAGUUUAUCGAAAUAUUCGGCGGGUGCUCCCCGGUGUAGCCAUCACCGUGACCGGUUUACAAAACCGCUGGGCAACCGGCGGGACAAAAAGCACCGGAUUGGCGAGA
This 189-nucleotide non-coding RNA is filed under the name Peptococcaceae bacterium. RNAcentral describes it as "GlcN6P sequence". It matches the Rfam family "glmS glucosamine-6-phosphate activated ribozyme aptamer". Rfam says of the family: This entry contains a glucosamine-6-phosphate activated ribozyme that is found in the mRNA for GlmS. GlmS is an enzyme that uses fructose-6-phosphate and glutamine to generate glucosamine-6-phosphate. The record is from RNAcentral. Lineage: Bacteria; Bacillati; Bacillota; Clostridia; Eubacteriales; Peptococcaceae.